Molecule: small nuclear RNA, 170 nt
Filed under: Sciurus vulgaris (Eurasian red squirrel)
Lineage: Eukaryota; Metazoa; Chordata; Mammalia; Rodentia; Sciuridae
Description: U2 spliceosomal RNA (ENSSVLG00005006059.1)
Rfam family: U2 spliceosomal RNA
About the family: U2 is a small nuclear RNA (snRNA) component of the spliceosome (involved in pre-mRNA splicing). Complementary binding between U2 snRNA (in an area lying towards the 5' end but 3' to hairpin I) and the branchpoint sequence (BPS) of the intron results the bulging out of an unpaired adenosine, on the BPS, which initiates a nucleophilic attack at the intronic 5' splice site, thus starting the first of two transesterification reactions that mediate splicing.
Source: Rfam by way of RNAcentral
AUUGCUUCUCAGUCUUUUGGCUAAGAUCAAGUGUAGUCUCUGUUCUUAUCAGCUUAUAUCUGAUAUGGACAUUAAAUGGAUUUUUGGAAAUAGGAGAUGGAAUAGGAGCUUGCUGUCUUCUCCAUGCAUCAAACUGGUGUUACAGUAUCUCCAGGAACGGUGUGCCAAAA